This 843-nucleotide long non-coding RNA is filed under the name Callithrix jacchus (white-tufted-ear marmoset). RNAcentral describes it as "lncRNA (ENSCJAG00000077486.1)". The record is from RNAcentral. Lineage: Eukaryota; Metazoa; Chordata; Mammalia; Primates; Cebidae.
AUUGUAAAUGUAAUGAAAUUAAUUCAUUUUUUAUUUUAGACAUUUGAACUAAACCUGGUUACUAGGAAGAGUCUGAAGUUGCUUGUCCAUGUAAAUGUCAGGUGAGAAGCUCUCAGAAACUAUUUGAUAUUAUCAAUGAACAUUUAAAUUUUACAUUUUACAUGCAUGUCUCCAUUCUAUAAUUUCAGCAUGAACAUAAAUAGACUCAAAUGUGUAAAAAUGUACUGCCCUCACAGAAAGUUUCUAAGGAAUUUUUCAAUGACUUUUAGGCUUUUGGAAAAUGCUUUCAACUUGGUUCUUUAAUAUUAUUUUCACAAGUAAUUUUUUUUUUUUUUUUUUUUUUUUUUUUUUUUUGAGAUGGAGUUUCGCUCGUUACCCAGGCUGGAGUGCAAUGGCGCGAUCUCGGCUCACUGCAACCUCCGCCUCCUGGGUUCAGGCAAUUCUCCUGCCUCAGCCGCCUGAGCUGGGAUUACAGGCACGCGCCACCAUGCCCAGCUCUACUAAACUGAUUAGUAGAGACGGGGUUUCACCAUGUUGACCAGGAUGGUCUUGAUCUCUUGACUUCGUGAUCCACCCGCCUCGGCCUCCCAAAGUGCUGGGAUUACAGCCUUGAGCCACUGCACCCGGCCUGAUUAUUUCUCUUUGUUGCCCCAAAUAGACAGCCUGCUUAACCAAAGAGUAGAACCUCAAUGAAAGGAAUAUUUCUAAUAACCCAAUCGCUUCUUUCUUAGAAAGAUAAUUUUGAUGUAUUCUAUAAAACAAAUUAUGCAGGAGGUUAUUAACUAUCUCUAUAUAUUUCACAUAGAUUUGGCACAAGUCUUCCACAGGACCAUUUCUUUGUUC